AACGAACGCUGGCGGCAUGCCUAACACAUGCCAGUCGAACGAGACCUUCGGGUCUAGUGGCGCACGGGUGCGUAACGCGUGGGAACCUGCCCUUAGGUUCGGAAUAACUCCCCGAAAGGGGUGCUAAUACCGGAUAAUGUCUUCGGACCAAAGAUUUAUCGCCUUUGGAUGGGCCCGCGUUGGAUUAGCUAGUUGGUAGGGUAAAAGCCUACCAAGGCGACGAUCCAUAGCUGGUCUGAGAGGAUGAUCAGCCACACUGGGACUGAGACACGGCCCAGACUCCUACGGGAGGCAGCAGUGGGGAAUAUUGGACAAUGGGCGAAAGCCUGAUCCAGCAAUGCCGCGUGAGUGAUGAAGGCCUUAGGGUUGUAAAGCUCUUUUGCCCGGGAUGAUAAUGACAGUACCGGGAGAAUAAGCUCCGGCUAACUCCGUG
Molecule: ribosomal RNA, 433 nt
Filed under: uncultured bacterium
Lineage: Bacteria
Description: partial 16S ribosomal RNA
Rfam family: Bacterial small subunit ribosomal RNA
Source: RNAcentral